Non-coding RNA from Frankia sp., 81 nucleotides. The record is from Rfam. NCBI's taxonomy places the organism in Bacteria, Bacillati, Actinomycetota, Actinomycetes, Frankiales, Frankiaceae.
GAAGCGGGAACCCGGCACCGUGGGCAUGACCCCGUGCGAGCGGGUCAGACCGGGGGUGCCUCACCGAGAGGCGAGGCGGCA